CCUACGGGAGGCAGCAGUGGGGAAUAUUGCGCAAUGGGCGAAAGCCUGACGCAGCGACGCCGCGUGAGGGAUGAAGGUCCUCGGAUCGUAAACCUCUGUUAGCAGGGAAGAACGGUCACUGGGUUAAUCAGCAGUGAAUUGACGCUACCUGCAAAGGAAGCACCGGCUAACUCCGUGCCAGAAGCCGCGGAAAUACGGAGGGUGCGAGUGUUAAUCGGAAUGACUGGGGGUAAAGCGCUCGUAGGCGGUAUGUCAAGUCAAGGGUGAAAUCCCCGUGCUCAACGUGGGAACUGCGUUUGAAACUGGCAAACUGGAGUGAGUGAGAGGAAGGUGGAAUUCCGGGUGUAGGGGUGAAAUGCGUAGAUAUCUGGAGGAACAUCAGUGGCGAAGGCGACUUUCUGGCAAAUAACUGACGCUGAGGCGCGAAAGCGUGGGUAGCAAACAGGAUUAGAUACCCUUGUAGUC
RNAcentral lists this ribosomal RNA (465 nucleotides) under uncultured bacterium. RNAcentral's name for it is "partial 16S ribosomal RNA". It matches the Rfam family "Bacterial small subunit ribosomal RNA", at positions 338 to 795 of the family's 1533-position model. The record is from RNAcentral.